UCAUUACCCAACACUUGUAGAGUGAUUUUAACCCAUUAAAACACAUAAUCAUAGAAUUAAAUCAUGCAAUUUGUACUGUUCUUGAUGUUUUUGAAGUGUAGAACAUAAAUUCCUAAAAUUCAACGCCACAGAUUCGUUAUAAAACCAAAUCCAACCAUUCAAAUUUUGUUUUGUUCGUUUUAGCAUGCAUAAUCAUAUACAAGUGGAAAUUUUAUAGAAAAAUUUAUGGUUGACAUAUUAAAAUUACGUAUAAG
This 254-nucleotide long non-coding RNA is filed under the name Panax ginseng (ginseng). Its description in RNAcentral is "long non-coding RNA (PGIN_LNC001352)". Lineage: Eukaryota; Viridiplantae; Streptophyta; Magnoliopsida; Apiales; Araliaceae. The record is from RNAcentral.